Molecule: small nucleolar RNA, 48 nt
Filed under: Pyrobaculum arsenaticum DSM 13514
Lineage: Archaea; Thermoproteati; Thermoproteota; Thermoprotei; Thermoproteales; Thermoproteaceae
Also listed under: 1 other name
Description: PARsR27
Source: RNAcentral
GUGAUGAGAUGUAAACGUUGAUAUGGUGAUGCAGGUCCAAAGCGCUGA